UAAGCCAUGCAUGCCUCAGAAUAACUGCAUUGCAGGAAUCUGCGCAUGGCUCAUUAUCUCAGAUAUAAUCUGCCGCAAAAAUCUUGCGGUCUCCGCAAAACUGGAUAACUUGGCGAAAAGUCAAGCUAAUACAUGAACCAAUCGGAUUUCUCCACCGGGGCAACCUUGCGAGAAUUCCAGCGAAUGAGUGAAAUUAAAAUCAACGCCACGUACGUGGCAGCAACACAGCAGUGUUGACUCAAUUCAUUCCGUGCGAAAGCUGGGUAACCAGCGUCUUUUGACGAAUAACUGCUCUAUCAGCUAGUGAUGGCCGUGUAGUGGACUGCCAUGGCGUUGACGGAAGCGGGGGAUUAGGGUUCGAUUCCGGAGAGGGAGCCUGAGAAAUAGCUACCACUUCUACGGAGGUCAGCAGGCGCGCAAAUUGCCCAAUGUCAAAAAAAAAGAUGAGGCAGCGAAAAGAAAUAGGCCUCCCAGACUUCGGUUUGGGAGACAAUGGGGGAUAUUUAAUGCCAUCCAAAAUCGAGUAUCAAUUGGAGGACAAGUCUGGUGCCAGCACCCGCGGUAAUUCCAGCUCCAAAAGCGUAUAUUAACGCUGUUGCUGUUAAAGGGUUCGUAGUUGAAUUGUGGGCUAUGUGAGAGCUUCGAUCAGUCCUUCACGGGCCUCGACUCUUCUAGCUCGUGAACAUUCGAUACAAGUAACACGGGAGUGGUUCCUUCCCAAUUCUCGCAUGUUAUGCAUGCUGGGGGGCGCCCGUGAUUUUUACUGUGACUAAAAAAGUGUGACCAAAGCAGUCAUCCGACCUGAAUUACCAAGCAUGGGAUAACAAAGGAGCAACCUACGGUACUUUACCGUUAUGGCUUUUGUUGGUUUUAAUAGUCUGUGGGACAUUGUAGGAAGGUGUGACAAGUGGCGCUCUUUUGCGCGCCGCCUCCUAGGCAACUAGGCUCACCUUUCUCGGGAUGAAGGAGAGUGGUUCGGGGGAGAACGUACUUGAACGUGAGAGGUGAAAUUCUUAGACCGCUCAAAGACGAACUACAGCGAAGGCAUUCUCCAAGGAUACUUUCCUCAAUCAAGAACCAAAGUGUGGAGAUCGAAGAUGAUUAGAGACCAUUGUAGUCCACACCACAAACGAUGACACCCAUGAAUUGGGGUUUUUUUGGUGGAGGCGGGUGGGGUUUACCUCAUUCGUCUUCCCAAAUUUUUAAAUUUACGUGCAUUUUCAACUAGCCUUCACAGGCUUUAACGGGAAUAUCCUCAGCACGUUUUUUAUUUCUUCCACGCGAAAGCUUGAGGUUAUAGUCUCAGGGGGGAGUACGUUCGC
This 1322-nucleotide ribosomal RNA is filed under the name Trypanoplasma sp. 9TSA2. RNAcentral's name for it is "SSU rRNA". It matches the Rfam family "Eukaryotic small subunit ribosomal RNA", at positions 45 to 1132 of the family's 1831-position model. Lineage: Eukaryota; Euglenozoa; Kinetoplastea; Parabodonida; Parabodonidae. The record is from RNAcentral.